AGGUGAAGUUGGUCAGAGUAGUAUGACCAACAUUGAUGCUGGGAUAUGUUUUAGUUAGAUUUUGCAUCUACAUUAUUGUUAUUAUUCAGUUUGUACAUUUUCACUUUUGUUUGAACUUUUUUGAAGUUCAAAUUUAGUAUUUUAAAGUUGAAUUUGAUGCAAUUGAAAGUUAAUCUAGAGUUGAUUCACAGAGUCAAAAGCAUAGUAGGGGUAGUAGGCAAUGAAUUUAUCUCAAACCUUUUGCAAAGACAUUUGAGCUUUACAUCUUUCCUCAUAUUGCAAAUCUUUUCAUGUGUGGAUGAGUUGGAAGCUUCCUUUACACAUGGAGAAAUGAAAGUCUUGGAAGCCAUUGAUUGCCGAAGUUUUUAUGCGGAAUGAUAGAGCUUUGUAGGAAAAGGGGCAUGUGAGAAUCAUGGAGCUUGUAACAUCUUCAAAUAAAGCUCAUCUUCUCCUCUCUCUAGGUUCCCAAAUCCUUUUGUAGGGUAAGGAAUGUGUGUUUGGGGUUCGUAGGAGGUGGGUCCCAAGGGAUGUGUGCAUUCUUUUUACCUUCAAAAUGAUUAGAAGUGGAUUUUUGUACCGCUUGCAGAUUUCUUUAGGUAGCUAGAAUUCUGGUAUUUGUGCCUGCUGAGCGAGUGGUUAGCAGUCCUUUUAUACAAGUAUCAAGUGUUUGACAUAGCUAGCUAAAUGAAGAUAUUCAUUUGGUAUCCAA
Long non-coding RNA from Cucurbita maxima (winter squash), 709 nucleotides. RefSeq lists it as uncharacterized. Lineage: Eukaryota; Viridiplantae; Streptophyta; Magnoliopsida; Cucurbitales; Cucurbitaceae. The transcript is spliced from 2 exons. The record is from RefSeq and is a predicted model, not a curated record.